CUACCCUGUCUUUAAGCUG
This 19-nucleotide microRNA is filed under the name Ciona intestinalis (vase tunicate). RNAcentral's name for it is "cin-miR-4069-5p". The record is from miRBase by way of RNAcentral. Lineage: Eukaryota; Metazoa; Chordata; Ascidiacea; Phlebobranchia; Cionidae.